GUUCCCCCCCUAUUGUUUUAUUAGGGCCCCCACCCACCGCUCAGGGGUGGGGGCCAGGGGGGGAAGACAGUAGGUCCCCCCCUACCUUUAUUUAGGGCCCCCACCCACCGCUCAGGGGUGGGGGCCAGGGGAGGGAGGACAGU
Pelobates fuscus (common spadefoot toad) is the source of this 143-nucleotide non-coding RNA. RefSeq annotates it as small Cajal body-specific RNA 11. The record is from RefSeq and is a predicted model, not a curated record. The transcript has a single exon. NCBI's taxonomy places the organism in Eukaryota, Metazoa, Chordata, Amphibia, Anura, Pelobatidae.